RNAcentral lists this ribosomal RNA (192 nucleotides) under uncultured Streptococcus sp. RNAcentral's name for it is "partial 16S ribosomal RNA". It matches the Rfam family "Bacterial small subunit ribosomal RNA", at positions 338 to 521 of the family's 1533-position model. Lineage: Bacteria; Bacillati; Bacillota; Bacilli; Lactobacillales; Streptococcaceae. The record is from RNAcentral.
CCUACGGGAGGCAGCAGUAGGGAAUCUUCGGCAAUGGACGGAAGUCUGACCGAGCAACGCCGCGUGAGUGAAGAAGGUUUUCGGAUCGUAAAGCUCUGUUGUAAGAGAAGAACGAGUGUGAGAGUGGAAAGUUCACACUGUGACGGUAUCUUACCAGAAAGGGACGGCUAACUACGUGCCAGCAGCCGCGGU